RNAcentral lists this ribosomal RNA (253 nucleotides) under uncultured bacterium. RNAcentral describes it as "partial 16S ribosomal RNA". It matches the Rfam family "Bacterial small subunit ribosomal RNA", at positions 524 to 776 of the family's 1533-position model. The record is from RNAcentral.
UACGAAGGGGGCUAGCGUUGCUCGGAAUCACUGGGCGUAAAGGGCGCGUAGGCGGGCUGUCAAGUCUGGGGUGAAAUGCUGCGGCUCAACCGUAGAACUGCCUUAGAUACUGACGGCCUCGAGGAAGGUAGGGGCAUGCGGAACUGUAGGUGGAGCGGUGAAAUGCGUUGAUAUCUACAGGAACUCCGGUGGCGAAAGCGGCGUGCUGGACCUUUUCUGACGCUGAGGCGCGAAAGCUAGGGGAGCAAACGGG